RNAcentral lists this ribosomal RNA (497 nucleotides) under uncultured bacterium. Its description in RNAcentral is "partial 16S ribosomal RNA". It matches the Rfam family "Bacterial small subunit ribosomal RNA", at positions 28 to 507 of the family's 1533-position model. The record is from RNAcentral.
GAUGAACGCUGGCGGCGUGCCUAAUACAUGCAAGUCGAACGAACAGACGAGGAGCUUGCUCCUCGGACGUUAGCGGCGGACGGGUGAGUAACACGUGGAUAACCUACCUAUAAGACUGGGAUCACUUCGGGACACCGGAGCUAAUACCGGAUGAUAUAUUGAACCGCAUGGGUCAAUGGUGAAAGACGGUGUUGCGGGCACGUAUAGAUGGAUCCGUGCCGCAUUAGCUGGUUGGUAAGGUAACGGCUUACCAAGGCAACGAUGCGUAGCCGAACUGAGAGGGUGGUCGCCCACCUGGGAACGGGGACACGGUCCAGACUCCUACGGGAGGGAGCAGUCGGGAAUGUGCCGCAACGGGCGAAAGUCUGACGGAGCAACGCGGCGCGAGUGAUGACGGUCUUGGGAGCGUAAUACUCUGUUAUGAGGGAAGAACAGCUGUGUAAGUUACUGUGCACGUCGUGACGGUACUUAAUCAGAAAGCCCCGGCUAACUACGUG